CAGGAAAUAGUUUAUUUAAAAAUAUUAAUUUUGGAGAUUAAUGAAAAGUUAUUUUGAUUUUUUCCUGA
RNAcentral lists this transfer RNA (68 nucleotides) under Balta jinlinorum. RNAcentral describes it as "tRNA-Pro". Lineage: Eukaryota; Metazoa; Arthropoda; Insecta; Blattodea; Pseudophyllodromiidae. The record is from RNAcentral.